GGGAGCCCCUGGGCGCUCGAGUCCCCUGGGCCCUGGUCCGAGGCCCCCACUGGAGGGGCGAGGGAUACCGGGCUGGUUCUCCUCACCUUGGCUGAGACCCAGGGAGCCCAUGUCCACUGAGGUUUCCUCCGUGGCCUGAGUGUGGGUGGGCUCGCUUCCGAGUGCUCCUGUCUCCCUACUGGAGUCCACCGUCUACCCUGCACUGUCCUCUCCUGCCAGGGCAGGGGCGCUGGGCGUGGCCAUGGGGUGCCGUCAGGAGCCGGGUCUCUUAGGCUCAUGGACAACGAGCAGCCAUUUCCUGCCUCAGUCUCCCCACCUAUGGUGACAGCCCUCCCUCAAGGACAGGUGUGAGGUGAAGGCCGUUGCACACACACACAGGCACCUGGUGGGCAGGUGUGAGGAGAAGGCCACACACACACACACACACGGGCACCUGGUGGGCAGGUGUGAGGAGAAGGCCACACACACACACACACACACACACACGGGCACCUGGUGGGCAGGUGUGAGGAGAAGGCCAUCGCACACACACACGGGCACCUGGUGGGCAGGUGUGAGGAGAAGGCCACACACACACACACACACACACACACAUGGGCACCUGGUGGGCAGAUGUGAGGAGAAGGCCAUCGCACACACACACGGGCACCUGGUGGGCAGGUGUGAGGAGAAGGCCACACAUACACACACACGGGCACCUGGUGGGCAGGUGUGAGGAGAAGGCCACACAUACACACACACGGGCACCUGGUGGGCAGUGGUGGGAGCUUUGCUCACUUUGCUGGUGGUCAUGAAACGAGGACAGCAGACAUUCCUGUGCUCCAGGCCCACCCAGGUGUGACGUGCAGGUGUGCUGGGGUGACACUCCCGCCUCUCCUGAGGGGGGGGAUAUGGGGAAGAGGGCUGUUCCCUGACCCACCGCUCCUGUCCACAGGAUGCCGUCCCUGACCUUGGGCCCGGGUGGGCGCCAGGCCCAGGAAGGCCGGUCAGACCCCUUCCUCAGGCUGAGAAUCUGCAGCUCAGCCCACCUUCUCCAGACCUCUGCUGAGGGACUGGAGGUCCCUGGCACUAGACGGCCUCAGCCCCAGUCCCAGGACUAGAUCAAGGGGACUGGAGGCGACCGGGUGGUGUCCAGUCUCUG
RNAcentral lists this long non-coding RNA (1141 nucleotides) under Marmota monax (woodchuck). The record is from RNAcentral. Lineage: Eukaryota; Metazoa; Chordata; Mammalia; Rodentia; Sciuridae.